RNAcentral lists this long non-coding RNA (822 nucleotides) under Homo sapiens (human). Its description in RNAcentral is "non-protein coding DCST1-AS1:27". The record is from RNAcentral. Lineage: Eukaryota; Metazoa; Chordata; Mammalia; Primates; Hominidae.
AACAAAUGUCCACACAGUUAGGAAGCCCAAGGGCCCUCUGCCCUUUCCUCUCUGCCUUCCUGGAGCAUGAACCCACACAGGGCACACAGCAGCAAGGCAUCCCCGGGCAGUGCCGUGCCCACUCACCAGCUUCUUCCUGCGGUCAUCGAUCUGGCAGAAGUUCUCCUCAUCUAUCCCCAAACAUGGGCUUCCUUGAGGCACAGUCAUUCAACCAACCAGCCAGCAUUCAUUGAGCACCAUCUAUGUCCUGGGCACUGCUAGGGGAUGGUGAUAACAGGGAGAAGACUCUGUCCCUGCCUUCCAAUUGUGUAGAGGAAGACAUCCCCCUACAUGAUGGGUGAGACAUAGCAGAAGUGAGUAGGGGAUGAGGUGGGGGCUCAGAGGAGGGCAUGGUCAGCCUGUCUGGGAGGGAGUUGCAUGUGUGCAUCUGAGGUAGGGACAGGCAUGCAUCUUACAGGAUGAAUAUCGAGCAGAGUUACAGAGAGGGGGAAACUCCUUGAGGUUUCAGGAAUCACCUAAUCCACUGUGACUCACAAAUUCCUGCCUCUUGGCUUUGCCUGCAGCAUAUCUCCUGGAAGUGUGCUGGGGCAAAACUCAUCCCAGACCACCAUCUCCAUCCUCCCCCAAUACACCCUGGCUCUCCCUGGCUACCCUUGAGCACGGUGCACGUGUGCAUGGGUGCAUGCCUGCAUAUAUAGCUAUCCCCCAUGUAUUUCCCAAAGCCCUACAUAAUGCUUCAGUUUGCUAAGGAAAAAAUGUUAAUUACUGCAAAUGUGUUUAAAACUGUAAAAGUACAUUAAACAAACUCUGUAAAGUGUGAAA